Molecule: ribosomal RNA, 301 nt
Filed under: uncultured bacterium
Lineage: Bacteria
Description: partial 16S ribosomal RNA
Rfam family: Bacterial small subunit ribosomal RNA
Source: RNAcentral
CAGCAGCCGCGGUAACACCGAGGGUGCGAGCGUUAAUCGGAUUUACUGGGCGUAAAGCGUGCGUAGGCGGCUUUUUAAGUCGGAUGUGAAAUCCCUGAGCUUAACUUAGGAAUUGCAUUCGAUACUGGGAAGCUAGAGUAUGGGAGAGGAUGGUAGAAUUCCAGGUGUAGCGGUGAAAUGCGUAGAGAUCUGGAGGAAUACCGAUGGCGAAGGCAGCCAUCUGGCCUAAUACUGACGCUGAGGUACGAAAGCAUGGGGAGCAAACAGGAUUAGAUACCCGUGUAGUCCCUGUCUCUUAUAC